RNAcentral lists this ribosomal RNA (389 nucleotides) under uncultured bacterium. RNAcentral describes it as "bacterial SSU rRNA". It matches the Rfam family "Bacterial small subunit ribosomal RNA", at positions 28 to 417 of the family's 1533-position model. The record is from RNAcentral.
GACGAACGCUGGCGGCGUGCUUAACACACGCAAGUCGAGCGGUAAGGCCCUUUCGGGGGUACGACGAGCGGCGAACGGGUGAGUAACACGUGGGUGACCUGCCCUUAGCUCUGGGAUAAGCCUGGGAAACUGGGUCUAAUACCGGAUAUGACUCCAUGACGCAUGUUGUGGGGUGGAAAGCCUUGUGCGGCUAGGGAUGGGCCCGCGGCCUAUCAGCUUGUUGGUGGGGUGAUGGCCUACCAAGGCGACGACGGGUAGCCGGCCUGAGAGGGCGACCGGCCACACUGGGACUGAGACACGGCCCAGACUCCUACGGGAGGCAGCAGUGGGGAAUCUUGCGCAAUGGGCGAAAGCCUGACGCAGCGACGCCGCGUGAGGGAUGACGGCCU